UAUACUGGGCGUAAGCGCGCGCAGGCGGUUUGUUAAGUCAGAUGUGAAGCCCCGGGCUCAACCUGGGAACUGCAUUUGAUACUGGCAGACUAGAGUAUGGUAGAGGGAGGUAGAAUUCCC
This 120-nucleotide ribosomal RNA is filed under the name uncultured beta proteobacterium. RNAcentral describes it as "partial 16S ribosomal RNA". It matches the Rfam family "Bacterial small subunit ribosomal RNA", at positions 552 to 671 of the family's 1533-position model. Lineage: Bacteria; Pseudomonadati; Pseudomonadota; Betaproteobacteria. The record is from RNAcentral.